Molecule: transfer RNA, 65 nt
Filed under: Engaeus lengana
Lineage: Eukaryota; Metazoa; Arthropoda; Malacostraca; Decapoda; Parastacidae
Description: tRNA-Lys
Source: RNAcentral
UCUCUAGGAAACUUUUUUAGUUUGGGUCUUUUAAACCCAAAAUAGGUAGUUUUUCUACUACUAGA